AUUGAACGCUGGCGGCAGGCUUAACACAUGCAAGUCGAGCGAGCGGCGGACGGGUGAGUAAUGUCUGGGAAACUGCCUGAUGGAGGGGGAUAACUACUGGAAACGGUAGCUAAUACCGCAUACCAUCAGAUGUGCCCAGAUGGGAUUAGCUAGUAGGUGGGGUAAUGGCUCACCUAGGCGACGAUCCCUAGCUGGUCUGAGAGGAUGACCAGCCACACUGGAACUGAGACACGGUCCAGACUCCUACGGGAGGCAGCAUUGGGGAAUAUUGCACAAUGGGCGCAAGCCUGAUGCAGCCAUGCCGCGUGUGUGAAGAAGGCCUUCGGGUUGUAAAGCACUUUCAGCGAGGAGGCGUUACUCGCAGAAGAAGCACCGGCUAACUCCGUGCCAGCAGCCGCGGUAAUAC
This 406-nucleotide ribosomal RNA is filed under the name uncultured bacterium. Its description in RNAcentral is "partial 16S ribosomal RNA". It matches the Rfam family "Bacterial small subunit ribosomal RNA", at positions 30 to 526 of the family's 1533-position model. The record is from RNAcentral.